Molecule: long non-coding RNA, 576 nt
Organism: Nicotiana tabacum (common tobacco)
Lineage: Eukaryota; Viridiplantae; Streptophyta; Magnoliopsida; Solanales; Solanaceae
Source: RefSeq, a predicted model, not a curated record
UAGUCUCAUUAAAAGAAAAUAACAAAUACCCCCUACCAAGUUGUCGAACAAAAGGUGGGGUAUUUGUGCAGUAAAAUUGGAAGAUGGGAGCGGGUAGCAAGGCAGGGAAUCUGAUAUUUAAGGCCGCGGCGGCGGGGUUGGGCGUCGCCACCAUUUAUCUCACUGCAACAUUCUCCGUUAACGUCUACAGGGGUCUCUCUUGGCAUAAUGCCCAAAAGAAAGAGGAGAAAGAAAGGUCUGUAAGUCAGCAGGAAGAAUGAUGUGUUUUGUAGUCCUACACUUGGUUGUCGUGCUGCUAGCCUAGAAUCCUGCCAGAAGUUUCGGAGGAUAUAUGCAUCUUGUCAAAUUGUGUAAUAACUUCUUUACAAUUUUUCCAUAGGAUACUUAAUGGCAGCACUUACGAUCUUCUCAUUCAACGAACAAAUUGGAUAGAGUCUCAUGUUUAUUCAUUUUCUGUUAUUUUGUUGCUGAAAUUCUCCUUAACUCGAGAGUUAUAGUAGCUACUAGCUAAUGAGAGUUGAGAUGGAGUUGGAAUAGUACUUAUCAAUAAGAUUUAUGUUUCACAUUGGAAUUUAA